UACGUAGGUGGCAAGCGUUGUCCGGAUUUACUGGGCGUAAAGGAUGCGUAGGCGGAUAUUUAAGUGGGAUGUGAAAUACCCGGGCUCAACUUGGGUGCUGCAUUCCAAACUGGAUAUCUAGAGUGUGGGAGAGGAAAAUGGAAUUCCUAGUGUAGCGGUGAAAUGCGUAGAGAUUAGGAGGAACACCGGUGGCGAAGGCGGCGACCUGGUCCAAUAUUGACACUCAUACACGAAAGCGUGGGGAUCAAACAGG
RNAcentral lists this ribosomal RNA (253 nucleotides) under uncultured bacterium. Its description in RNAcentral is "partial 16S ribosomal RNA". It matches the Rfam family "Bacterial small subunit ribosomal RNA", at positions 524 to 776 of the family's 1533-position model. The record is from RNAcentral.